This 253-nucleotide ribosomal RNA is filed under the name uncultured bacterium. RNAcentral's name for it is "partial 16S ribosomal RNA". It matches the Rfam family "Bacterial small subunit ribosomal RNA", at positions 524 to 776 of the family's 1533-position model. The record is from RNAcentral.
UACGUAGGGGGCCAGCGUUGUUCGGAAUUACUGGGCGUAAAGGGUUCGUAGGCGGCGCGGCAAGUUGGGAGUGAAAUCUCUGGGCUUAACCCAGAGGCUGCUUCCAAAACUGCUGUGCUUGAGUGUGGGAGAGGCGCGUGGAAUUGCAGGUGUAGCGGUGAAAUGCGUAGAUAUCUGCAGGAACACCCGUGGCGAAAGCGGCGCGCUGGACCACUACUGACGCUGAGGAACGAAAGCUAGGGGAGCAAACAGG